UACGAAGGGGGCUAGCGUUGUUCGGAAUUACUGGGCGUAAAGGGCGCGUAGGCGGCCUCGUCCGUCCGGCGUGAAAUGCCUGGGCUCAACCUAGGAAUUGCGCUCGAUACAGCGAGGCUAGAGUGUGGGAGAGGUUGGUGGAAUUCCCAGUGUAGAGGUGAAAUUCGUAGAUAUUGGGAAGAACACCGGUGGCGAAGGCGGCCAACUGGACCACAACUGACGCUGAGGUGCGAAAGCGUGGGGAGCAAACAGG
RNAcentral lists this ribosomal RNA (253 nucleotides) under uncultured bacterium. Its description in RNAcentral is "partial 16S ribosomal RNA". It matches the Rfam family "Bacterial small subunit ribosomal RNA", at positions 524 to 776 of the family's 1533-position model. The record is from RNAcentral.